ACUUGUCCCUAGAAUGUCAAAUGACUUGAUUUGGCGUGUGAGAUGGCAGAGUCGCAACUGUAGCAGAUUCAUUUGAGGCUCACGCAAAAAAAUUGCAGGCUUCAAAUGCAUUAGGUCCCCGUACAAGCAGCUUGGAAGCAGGAAGUUCCAUGUUAUCAGAUGCAUGUGAAGCUACAGAAAUUCCAGGGAGAGUAAGACAAAGAGAUGACAAUGUAGACUCACCACCAGAAACGUCACGAGGAUAUGAUACCUUCGCUCUGGGCAUCUUGGCCCCAUCUGACAUCAAAAAAUGGACCAACGCAAGAGGUGCAAUAGAGUCUUUCGAGCCUGGGGAUUAUUUUGAGUUGACUUUAACACGUGAUUGGAAAUCACAGUCACAAUCCACAGUAAACUCCAUAUCUGAGCUAAAAAAACAAUAAAAACAGCAUUUAGAACCUUUCGCUUUCGCAGGUAACCUGAAGGAACUACUAGCACAUUGCCACAGCUAGCAUCAAUAACCAGAAUUCAUGGAGAAGGAGCUCUUGACAUUGUGAAAAUAGACUCAUGAACCGGAUCCUCUCGUAAGUAACCUACGCUUCUGAAGGCAAAACUAUUCUCAUUCUUCUCCGUUUAAGUCCUGAGAUACUCUAUUUCCGAAUCUUAUCUUAUGCUUUUCAAAAUGAUCGCUGUAUUAUUUAUACGUAUGGUAGCAUGGUGUGAACUUCUCUACUUCCAACUACAAUUUCUACAUUGUUGUUGUUUACAUUGUAAAAAUAUUCAAUGCAGUUCCAAAACGUUCAAAGAAUUAGCCAAUCUCAUGUAUGUUACACAAGGUGCAAUUAGAAGUUAUUGCACAAUUGCAAUUAUAAGUUAUUUUGUAAAAUUUUGCAAUUAAAAUAUAUUGCAAUUAAAAUUUUGAUAAAGUUUUAGUAAGAUAUGCCAUGUCAUCAAAAUAGUAUGAUAUAUUUGGAUAUGGAGGCAUACAAUAUUCUUUUUAAAAUACCAUUACG
Non-coding RNA from Physcomitrium patens, 989 nucleotides. Lineage: Eukaryota; Viridiplantae; Streptophyta; Bryopsida; Funariales; Funariaceae. The record is from RefSeq and is a predicted model, not a curated record.